This 434-nucleotide ribosomal RNA is filed under the name uncultured bacterium. RNAcentral's name for it is "partial 16S ribosomal RNA". It matches the Rfam family "Bacterial small subunit ribosomal RNA", at positions 29 to 507 of the family's 1533-position model. The record is from RNAcentral.
AGCGAACGCUGGCGGCAGGCCUAACACAUGCAAGUCGAACGAACCUUUCGGGGUUAGUGGCGGACGGGUGAGUAACACGUGGGAACGUGCCUUUAGGUUCGGAAUAACUCAGGGAAACUUGUGCUAAUACCGAAUGUGCCCUUCGGGGGAAAGAUUUAUCGCCUUUAGAGCGGCCCGCGUCUGAUUAGCUAGUUGGUUGAGGUAAUGGCUCACCAAGGCGACGAUCAGUAGCUGGUCUGGGAGGAUGAUCAGCCACAUUGGGACUGAGACAGGGCCCAAAAUCCUACGGGAGGCAGGAGUGGGGAAUCUUGCGCAAUGGGCGAAAGCCUGACGCAGCCAUGCCGCGUGAAUGAUGAAGGUCUUAGGAUUGUAAAAUUCUUUCACCGGGGACGAUAAUGACGGUACCCGGAGAAGAAGCCCCGGCUAACUUCGUG